ACUCAAAGGAAUUGACGGGGACCCGCACAAGCGGUGGAUGAUGUGGAUUAAUUCGAUGCAACGCGAAAAACCUUACCUACCCUUGACAUGGUCCGAAGCCUGUAGAGAUAUGGGCGUGCUCGCAAGAGAACGGAUACACAGGUGCUGCAUGGCUGUCGUCAGCUCGUGUCGUGAGAUGUUGGGUUAAGUCCCGCAACGAGCGCAACCCUUGUCAUUAAUUGCCAGCAUUAAGUUGGGCACUUUAAUGAGACUGCCGGUGACAAACCGGAGGAAGGUGGGGAUGACGUCAAGUCCUCAUGGCCCUUAUGGGUAGGGCUUCACACGUCAUACAAUGGUGCAUACAGAGGGUUGCGAAGCCGCGAGGUGGUGCUAAUCCCAGAAAGUGCAUCGUAGUCCGGAUUGGAGUCUGCAACUCGACUCCAUGAAGUUGGAAUCGCUAGUAAUCGCGGAUCAGCAUGUCGCGGUGAAUACGUUCCCGGGUCUUGUACACACCGCCCGU
This 499-nucleotide ribosomal RNA is filed under the name uncultured bacterium. RNAcentral describes it as "partial 16S ribosomal RNA". It matches the Rfam family "Bacterial small subunit ribosomal RNA", at positions 899 to 1397 of the family's 1533-position model. The record is from RNAcentral.